Long non-coding RNA from Gasterosteus aculeatus aculeatus (three-spined stickleback), 1343 nucleotides. NCBI's taxonomy places the organism in Eukaryota, Metazoa, Chordata, Actinopteri, Perciformes, Gasterosteidae. The record is from Ensembl.
GAUAGUGAGCAGCAGCGUCUCCGGCAGUCGAGAUAUGCAUCGCUCCAGAUUUGAGAAAGAGCCCUCAAAGUGAAGCAAAGGAUUUGAUCGGCAAGUUUAAGGCUGUUCCCGGAAGGCUACACAAUUAAUUUAGAGAAAAAUGCUUUGGAAAUGUGGUGACACUGCAUUCAGGGCUGAAAGCUGCACAAUGGAUUUGUUUGGUGGGGGUGUAACAAGAGUAAUGGAGACAGGAGGUACGAUGUGCAGCUGUGCCCUGCACAUACCUGGUAGCAGAUCAGCUGGCAGUGUCUCCUCAGGAAAAAGGGACACAGCUGCAACAUUCAGAGUUUGUUUCACCUUGUAGAAUGGGUAUUUAAUGAUAUAAUGUUGGCACACCUUGGUAUUAUUAUUAGUCCAAAACUUUUAUGUUGACUGACUAUUUAAAGAAAUGCAUGUGCCAAAAAUGUGGCAGAGAAAAUAUCCCCCUUUUCUUUCUUGCAGAGAGGAAGAUAAGAAGAUAGAUACUGUAGGAUAUUAGAAAUAAACUGACCACCCGGUUCAUAAAUUAAUAAAAUCCAUAUACACCAGAAUACAUCCAUGAUUCUGAAACUGUGUAAUCAAUAAAGUAAUGACAAUAUUGUAAAACCACUGUAAUAUUGAAACUGUAAUCAAUAGAAUAAUAUCAAUGUACAGUUAUAGUUGAAUUUAAUGUAAUGUAAUCAACUGGAAUGCAUGCAUGUAAUUCUUGACCACACCACAACUGAUAUUGACUGAGGGUCAUACAAAAUCCGAGUUACAUUGAACUCACCAGAAGACCACUCCCAGAGGUGUGGACACUAACUUUCACACAACCAUUGUUCUGGAGUUCGCUGGUGGAGGCAACAGACGGGCACUGUGGCCUGUUGGUUACAGAGACCAGCGGCUCCUCAGCUGACAUGUUCUUUUUACCACAAGACCCUUCUUAUUAAAUACUAUUGCACCGUUCAUUCUUCUUCUUCAAGUGGGGGUUCGCGUCCUGUUUUUUCUUCCCUAGUUGUUCUUAGAAGUCCUUCUCUGGGUAGGGCCCUUCUUGCGGGUUGUUUGCCUUGCAAAUGCUUCCGCACAUCGAAUUGAGCCCUCAAGCCUUUUGAUCGCGAGUAGCUUUCUGUCAGCCUUGGACAUGCCAAGUUCCUCCAGCAACUGAUCUGUUUGGCCGUGUAAUGUGCCUCUCCACGUCAGUACCACCGCUCCGAACCUUAUUGCUGUGGGGUUCACAUUCAAUCCAUGUCCUAAUGUCCUUCUGGUCCUUCUUGGAUGUUAAACUGCAUUUCGUUGCCUCAGUACUUGUACCCUGUGCAAUGACAAUAAAGUUGAAUCUAAUCUAA